GACGUAGGGCGCGAGCGUUGUCCGGAUUUAUUGGGCGUAAAGAGCUCGUAGGCGGCUUGUCGCGUCGAAUGUGAAAACCUGCAGCUCAACUGCAGGCUUGCAUUCGAUACGGGCAGGCUCGAGUUCGGUAGGGGAGACUGGAAUUCCUAGUGUAGCGGUGAAAUGCGCAGAUAUCAGGAGGAACACCGGUGGCGAAGGCGGGUCUCUGGGCCGAUACUGACGCUGAGGAGCGAAAGCGUGGGGAGCGAACAGG
Molecule: ribosomal RNA, 253 nt
Filed under: uncultured bacterium
Lineage: Bacteria
Description: partial 16S ribosomal RNA
Rfam family: Bacterial small subunit ribosomal RNA
Source: RNAcentral